Molecule: long non-coding RNA, 1559 nt
Filed under: Ursus maritimus (polar bear)
Lineage: Eukaryota; Metazoa; Chordata; Mammalia; Carnivora; Ursidae
Description: lncRNA (ENSUMAG00000009208.1)
Source: RNAcentral
AUGAGCGAAAAGAUAAGCGUCCCCCUCGGGUGGAUGUCUUCAAUGCCCAUCUGUGUCUGGGCCAUGCUGCUACAAGCUCUAAGAGCGCUUACUGAGGACCCCAGUGACAGAUUGUCUGAAAAGAAGCAAGAGUUUCCUACAACAAAAGAACUAACCUAUGGCGCAAUAUACUUUGGCUUGCGGCAAAUGUGUUUGAAUCUGUGUAAAAAAGUAAAAACUGCAAAUCUGUCUCCUUCUAUGUGGAACCAAAUCUGGAAAUAUGUGCUGCAGAGGCAACUGUAAAAUCAUAUUUCAUUCUGGCAGAUGGGCCAAUGAUUGUGUUGUGUGAGUAAUGAGUAUAUGUAAUCCAUGUGGUAAGCUUUGUGGACUGAGAGAAAGUCAGCGUUAUUCACUGAGGCUUGGCAAGCUGGAACCAUUGAUUUAGAAAAAUUUACAUGGGCUGAAAUAAUCUGAAAAAUGUACUGUCCGGUUUGUCAAUCUGUGAACAUAGCAAAAACCAUAGCACUCCCGAUUAGCACAAAGGGUGAGGGAGGAAAUCUCUUUUUGCUGUUUUCUAGUUGACACGUACAGAGGAGUGAUUCCUCUUGUACAAUAAGGGAAUUUAUAAUUCAUACUAUCUUUCAGCAAAUCAAGAAAUCCAAAUGGGUAUCUGUAGGACGAGAAAUCCAAAAAAAACUUUAGCCAUAUGAUACACUUAGAGGAAAGUCAAAAAUCUUUAUAGAGUUUAUUGUCAUUGUGUUCAGAUCAAUUCUUAAUUGUUUUUAGCUACGGAUUCUUGAGUUUCAAAGUAAUUGUAAAAUCUUUUUACUAAGUACAAAGUAGCUUAAGUUCUCAAGGAUGUACAGCUCCAUAGGAGGGAAAAACCGUGAUGAUAAACUUGGAGAGGCCCAUUUAUCUUUGUGAAUAACAAGUUAUCAUUUAGACAGCAAUUUUUUUUUCUUAAGCCCAAAGGCAUUUAAAAAAGUAGAAUCUUCAGCUCAUAAAGGACCUUAGAAGUGAUGCAGAGCGGGUAGGAGAAGACAGCAUGGGCAGUUGGUCGGGGAAACUGGGAGUAAAGGUGGCUGGAACUCGAACAGAGUGAAAGAUGAUCCAGAACUGGGAGUUGGGUGAGCAAUUAUUGUUUAACAGGUACCGAGUUUCCGUUUGGAUUGAUUUUAAAAUGCUGGAAAAGGCUAAUGGUGAUGGUUACACAACAAUGUGAAUGUAACUCAUGCCAUUGAAAUAGAGACUUAAAAAUGGCUAAAAUGGUAAAUUUUAUGUCAUGUGUAUUUUACCACAUAAAACCAUAGUAUGUUAUGUUAUUUAUAUUUUGCAUUUAAAAAUAUUUUUUUAAAAAAAGGGACACCUGGGUGGUGCAGUUGGUUGAAUGUCUGACUCUUGGUUUCGGCUUGGAUCGUGAUCUCCUGGUCUGGGAUGGAGCCCGACGUAGGGCUCCACGCUCAGCAUGGAGUCCACUUGAGACUCUCUCUACCUUUCCCUCUGCCUCUCCCCCCACCUCCAUCUUCUCUCUCUCCCUCUCUCUCUUUCUCUCUCAAGUAAAUAAAUAAAAUCAAAAAAAU